RNAcentral lists this long non-coding RNA (1341 nucleotides) under Homo sapiens (human). Its description in RNAcentral is "HSALNT0132295". The record is from RNAcentral. Lineage: Eukaryota; Metazoa; Chordata; Mammalia; Primates; Hominidae.
AUAAUAGAAAAAAGGGAGAAAAAGCCUCUUUCCAAUGACAGUGCUUGCUUGCUUUUACUCUGCAUGCCUAACCACCACACUUAUACAUUUAUUUUUUAUGGUAAUGUAAUCGUAUGAUUUGUGCUUUCGUGAAGGCUGCUUUUUCGGUUAAUUUUAUGUUAGUGGACUUUUAUGUCAAAUAUAAGUCUAUACCGUCAUUGCUGUUGAAUAGCAUUUUACUGUUCAGAUCUAGUACAAUUUAAAAAUCCCUUUUUACUGGGUUGCUUUCAGUUUCUAACAGUUCACACACAUGCACAUACAUACACACACAAGUUCAUACUGCUCAAAUGUAAGUACAUGCAUUAUACGUGCCAUAUCUUAGCUUCCUCUACCUCUUAGAUUAUUUCCUGAAAAUUAAUACUAAGAAGGGAGAGUCCCGUCAAUCUACAUCAUUAAAGUUUUCUGUGUGCUGUUACGUUUUUACUGAAGUAUAUCCAUUCAUGUUCCCAUGGCAGUAUUUCUGAAAGGCUGGUACCAUCUCUCCAAGCUGACAUUGGAUAUUGCUAUUUAAACAUAUUUGAAUUAAGCGGUGAGAUUCUUUCUUCCCAAACAGGCCUCCUGCUUUAUCACCUCCCUCUCACUCAACUACACUUACUAAAACCUGACAGGUUGCUAAAGAGCGUCACAGCUCUUGACACAGAAGGAAGUGAGAGACUGGAGGCACUUCGUCUUUUACAAGCUUUCCCUCUACUUUAGAUUAAAAUUAAACCAAACGGGAGAAAAAAUAAAAUGAACUGAUCUAAGUUAUCAUCAUAUGCGAAGGAAAAGAAGAUUAAUAUUACUCAUUUCUGCACCUCCCUUAAAGUUUUGUAUAUAAAAGAGGUGAAAGCAUUGAAUUGAACGUUUUGCCAUUUAUAAACCCAAACGUAUUGUAUGCCAUUCUUUAUUAUCUUUUUGCAUGACAUUUUUCCAGGGAAAAUGUGUGUCACUCUUUUAUUCCCACAUCUCAUUCUUGAUUUACUUCCUCUGUGUUCGUUUUGGUUAUUUUCAGUCUACUCCUUCAAUAGCUAUUUAAAGAAUACAUAUGUUUUUAAUGUGGUAAGUUAAUACAGUUUUCUUUGGGGCAGAGUGUGAGUUUCAUCUGCUUCCUUUUGCCUUUACACAAAUCCUUUUAUAAAGUUUGUCUCAAAAAGUAGAUUCUUGAAGCGCUGCAAGCAGAAUGGCCGACCAGGGAAGCUGCGAACUUCUUGUUCUACGCGAUCACUGACAAGAGAAGCAGGACCACCUUUGUGGGGGCCACUUUCGGAGGCCAAGGUGGGCGGAUCACGAAGUUGGGAGAUGGAGACCAUCUUGGCUAACACG